UGGGGAAUAUUGCACAAUGGGCGCAAGCCUGAUGCAGCCAUGCCGCGUUUGUGAAGAAGGCCUUCGGGUUGUAAAGCACUUUCAGCGGGGAGGAAGGCGAUAAGGUUAAUAACCUUGUCCAUUGACGUUACCCGCAGAAGAAGCACCGGCUAACUCCGUGCCAGCAGCCGCGCUAAUACGGUGGGUGCAAGCGUUUAUCGGAAUUACUGGGCGUAAAGCGAACGCAGGCGGUCUGUCAAGUCGGAUGUGAAAUCCCCGGGCUCAACCUGGGAACUGCAUUCGAAACUGGCAGGCUAGAGUCUUGUAGAGGGGGGUAGAAUUCCAGGUGUAGCGGUGAAAUGCGUAGAGAUCUGGAGGAAUACCGGUGGCGAAGGCGGCCCCCUGUACAAAGACUGACGCUCAGGUGCGAAAGCGUGGGGAGCAAACAGG
Molecule: ribosomal RNA, 429 nt
Filed under: Chloroflexota bacterium
Lineage: Bacteria; Bacillati; Chloroflexota
Description: Chloroflexi bacterium partial 16S ribosomal RNA
Rfam family: Bacterial small subunit ribosomal RNA
Source: RNAcentral